UGACUUAAAGCUUCUGCUGGUAAGGAUUUUCUAGCACACUGCAACAAAAGAAAGAAACAGAAAAGUCCCGACAAAGCUUUCUUUCUAAAAACAAGACUAAUUGGCUACGAGAAACAUCAGAAUCCUUCUAAAGCCUUCUAUGAGUCUCAUCAAAAGGAAAGAUUUGAUGAGACUUGAAUAUAAUUUAACUCACAAGACAGGAGUAGCGAAAGGAGGAGAAAAAUAAGCGAAGUAUGUAAAUAGGGAGAGUUAAAGACGCUUACCAAGCAGCUCUUUCGCCUUUUUGUUGGGAAUCUGGGAAGAAACCAGGAAGUUUUUGCAGCUUCAAGAUGAACUGAGGUGCCCAGAAAUGCCUACGGAGGCCCAGAUAAAAACUGCAAAAGAAAAAAGGCGGUCACAGAUCUUAUGGCAGUAGAACUCGGAUAGAAGUGCCCCAACAAAAAAUUUGCAAUUACGACUUUCAAUCUCCAACCGAAUUCGAUCCCAAACACAAACUUCUAAAACAUACAAAAAUACGCGAACGACUUCCCGAUUCCGAUCUUAGUUCAGAACUGAUAUGACGGAUGAAAUGAAAGCUUGAAUACUUAAAUCUAAUCGAUUCAAACGAAAAUAACAACGGAUUCAGAGGUCCGUAGAUUAUACGUAUACAGAUACAUGACUAACCCGUUUGAGCGGAGGCUGGAAUGGUUAUGGUGAGCAGUAUCGAGGCCUGAAAUGAUGACUUGGAGAGAUCUAGGCUUGUUUGCUUUGCUGGGUGCAAUUUGGUUCGGCAAUUCUCGAUCCCUCUGGGUGUCUCACAAGCAUUAUCCUUCCUGGGUGUCUCACAAGCCCUAAAUGUGUCUGAAAUUUGGGGUGGACAGUGGCGAGAGUGGCGAAGGAUGAAGGAAGUGGCCAGAGAAAUGGAAGGCAGGGGGGAGACGGUGGUGGGAAAGGUAAGGUAUUAGGAUUGCAGGUGGAAGUGAUGGUGGAGAUCAGAGCCCUAGCGGCUGAGGAAAAUGGUGAGUUAGACGGGAAGAAAG
Molecule: long non-coding RNA, 1019 nt
Filed under: Coffea arabica (coffee)
Lineage: Eukaryota; Viridiplantae; Streptophyta; Magnoliopsida; Gentianales; Rubiaceae
Description: long non-coding RNA (CARA_LNC007661)
Source: RNAcentral